This 841-nucleotide ribosomal RNA is filed under the name uncultured bacterium. Its description in RNAcentral is "bacterial SSU rRNA". It matches the Rfam family "Bacterial small subunit ribosomal RNA", at positions 28 to 859 of the family's 1533-position model. The record is from RNAcentral.
GAUGAACGCUAGCGGCAGGCCUAACACAUGCAAGUCGAGGGGCAGCACUGAAGUAAGCAAUUACUUUUGGUGGCGACCGGCGGACGGGUGCGUAACGCGUAUGCAACCUACCAUCAACAGGGGGAUAAUUCGGAGAAAUCUGGUCUAAUACCCCAUAACAUAAGAACCGGCAUCGGUUUUUGUUCAAAGCUCCGGCGGUUGAUGAUGGGCAUGCGUUGUAUUAGAUAGUUGGUGAGGUAACGGCUCACCAAGGCGACGAUACAUAGGGGGACUGAGAGGUUAACCCCCCACACUGGUACUGAGACACGGACCAGACUCCUACGGGAGGCAGCAGUGAGGAAUAUUGGUCAAUGGACGGAAGUCUGAACCAGCCAUGCCGCGUGCAGGAUGACGGCUCUAUGAGUUGUAAACUGCUUUUGUACCAGGGUAAUUGCGUCUACGUGUAGACGUUUGAAAGUAUGGUACGAAUAAGGAUCGGCUAACUCCGUGCCAGCAGCCGCGGUAAUACGGAGGAUCCGAGCGUUAUCCGGAUUUAUUGGGUUUAAAGGGUGCGUAGGCUGUUCGGUAAGUUAGAGGUGAAAGGUUAACGCUUAACGUUGAAAUUGCCUCUGAUACUGCCGGGCUAGAGUUUAGUUGCUGUGGGCGGAAUGAGUAGUGGUAGCGGUGAAAUGCUUAGAUAUUACUCAGAACACCGAUUGCGAAGGCAGCUCACAAAGCUAUAACUUGACGCUGAGGCACGAAAGCGUGGGGAUCAAACAGGAUUAGAUACCCCUGUAGUCCACGCCGUAAACGAUGAUAACUCGUUGCAGGCGAAUAUACGGUCUGUGACUUAACGAAAGCG